Molecule: transfer RNA, 42 nt
Filed under: Pseudoroegneria cognata
Lineage: Eukaryota; Viridiplantae; Streptophyta; Magnoliopsida; Poales; Poaceae
Description: Elymus cognatus partial tRNA-Phe
Source: RNAcentral
GUCAGGAUAGCUCCAGUUGGUAGAGCAGAAGGACUGAAAAUC